RNAcentral lists this ribosomal RNA (465 nucleotides) under uncultured bacterium. Its description in RNAcentral is "partial 16S ribosomal RNA". It matches the Rfam family "Bacterial small subunit ribosomal RNA", at positions 28 to 507 of the family's 1533-position model. The record is from RNAcentral.
GACGAACGCUGGCGGCGUGCUUAACACAUGCAAGUCGAACGGAAAGGCCCUGCUUGCAGGGUACUCGAGUGGCGAACGGGUGAGUAACACGUGGGUGAUCUGCCCUGCACUUCGGGAUAAGCCUGGGAAACUGGGUCUAAUACCGGAUAGGAGCCAUUUUUAGUGUGAUGGUUGGAAAGUUUUUUCGGUGUAGGAUGAGCUCGCGGCCUAUCAGCUUGUUGGUGGGGUAAUGGCCUACCAAGGCGGCGACGGGUAGCCGGCCUGAGAGGGUGGACGGCCACAUUGGGACUGAGAUACGGCCCAGACGCCUACGGGAGGCAGCAGUGGGGAAGAUUGCACAAGGGGCGCAAGCCUGAUGCAGCGACGCCGCGUGGGGGAGGACGGCCUUCGGGUUGUAAACUCCUUUCGCUAGGGACGAAGCUUUUUGUGACGGUACCUAGAUAAGAAGCACCGGCUAACUACGUG